UAAUACAGAGGGUGCGAGCGUUGUCCGGAAUCACUGGGCGUAAAGGGCGCGUAGGCGGCUUCUCACGCGUGCGGUGAAAGCUCGGGGCUUAACUCCGAGUCUGCCGUGCGAACGGGGAGGCUUGAGUCUGGUAGAGGUCGAUGGAAUUCCGGGUGUAGCGGUGGAAUGCGUAGAGAUCCGGAAGAACACCGGUGGCGAAGGCGGUCGACUGGGCCAGUACUGACGCUGAGGCGCGACAGCGUGGGGAGCAAACAGGAUUAGAUACCCUGGUAGUCCACGCCGUAAACGAUGGGCACUAGAUCCUUGGGGGAGCGACCCCUUGAGGGUCGGCGCUAACGCAUUAAGUGCCCCGCCUGGGGAGUACGGCCGCAAGGCUG
RNAcentral lists this ribosomal RNA (377 nucleotides) under uncultured bacterium. RNAcentral's name for it is "bacterial SSU rRNA". It matches the Rfam family "Bacterial small subunit ribosomal RNA", at positions 521 to 896 of the family's 1533-position model. The record is from RNAcentral.